This 603-nucleotide ribosomal RNA is filed under the name uncultured cyanobacterium. RNAcentral's name for it is "bacterial SSU rRNA". It matches the Rfam family "Bacterial small subunit ribosomal RNA", at positions 1 to 658 of the family's 1533-position model. The record is from RNAcentral. Lineage: Bacteria; Bacillati; Cyanobacteriota.
UGAGUUUGAUUCUGGCUCAGGAUGAACGCUGGCGGCGUGCUUAACACAUGCAAGUCGAACGAACCUUCGGGUUAGUGGCGGACGGGUGAGUAACGCGUGAGAAUCUGCCCUCAGGAGGGGGAUAACGGUUGGAAACGACCGCUAAUACCCCAUAUGCCUAUUGGUGAAAUGAAUUUCGCCUGAGGAUGAGCUCGCGUCUAAUUAGCUAGUUGGUGAGGUAAUGGCUCACCAAGGCUUCGAUCAGUAGCUGGUCUGAGAGGAUGAUCAGCCACACUGGAACUGAGACACGGCCCAGACUCCUACGGGAGGCAGCAGUGGGGAAUUUUCCGCAAUGGGCGAAAGCCUGACGGAGCAACGCCGCGUGAGGGACGAAGGCCUUUGGGCUGUAAACCUCUUUUCUCAAGGAAGAAGAUAUGGCGGUACUUGAGGAAUAAGCCACGGCUAAUUCCGUGCCAGCAGCCGCGGUAAUACGGGAGUGGCAAGCGUUAUCCGGAAUUAUUGGGCGUAAAGCGUCCGCAGGCGGCUUUUCAAGUCUGCUGUUAAAACGUGGAGCUUAACUCCAUCAUGGCAGUGGAAACUGAAAGGCUUGAGUAUGGUAGGGGC